This 660-nucleotide ribosomal RNA is filed under the name uncultured Bdellovibrio sp. RNAcentral describes it as "bacterial SSU rRNA". It matches the Rfam family "Bacterial small subunit ribosomal RNA", at positions 28 to 705 of the family's 1533-position model. Lineage: Bacteria; Pseudomonadati; Bdellovibrionota; Bdellovibrionia; Bdellovibrionales; Pseudobdellovibrionaceae. The record is from RNAcentral.
AUUAAACGCUGGCGGCGUGCCUAAUACAUGCAAGUCGAACGGGGAAAGCUUUCGGGUGAGUACUAGUGGCGCACGGGUGAGGAACGCGUGGAUAAUCUGCCUUAGAGUGGGGGAUAACUAGUCGAAAGAUUAGCUAAUACCGCAUAAGACCACGAGAGCUGCGGCUUUUGAGGUCAAAGGUUUUUCGUUCUAAGAUGAGUCCGCGUAAGAUUAGCUAGUUGGUGAGGUAACCGCUCACCAAGGCGACGAUCUUUAACUGGUCUGAGAGGAUGAUCAGUCACACUGGAACUGAGACACGGUCCAGACUCCUACGGGAGGCAGCAGUAGGGAAUAUUGCACAAUGGAGGAAACUCUGAUGCACCGACGCCGCGUGAGUGAUGAAGGCCUUCGGGUCGUAAAGCUCUGUCGCAGGGGAAUAACACAAUGAAGGUACCCUGUAAGAAAGGAUCGGCUAACUUCGUGCCAGCAGCCGCGGUAAGACGAGGGAUCCUAGCGUUGUUCGGAAUCAUUGGGCGUAAAGCGGGUGUAGGUGGCUUUGUAAGUCGAGUGUGAAAGCCUGGGGCUCAACCCCAGAAGUGCAUUCGAUACUGCGAAGCUUGAGUGGUAGAGAGGUUAGUAGAAUUGUUGGUGUAGUGGUGAAAAACGUAGAUAACAACAGGC